Molecule: long non-coding RNA, 3604 nt
Filed under: Anolis carolinensis (green anole)
Lineage: Eukaryota; Metazoa; Chordata; Lepidosauria; Squamata; Anolidae
Description: lncRNA (ENSACAG00000034678.1)
Source: RNAcentral
AUGGCCAUCUGUCGAGAGGGAUCGGACGGUGUCUUUAUGGCAGAAGGGGGUCAGGCUGGAUGGCCAUCUGUCGAGAGGGAUCGGACGGUGUUGUUAUGGCAGAAGGGGGUCAGGCUGGAUGACCUUUGGGGAUCCCUUUCAACUCUGUUGGAAUAUAAGCUGCUAUGGAGUCUAGUGGAUUUUUUAAAACAGGAUGGAUGUCCGUCUGUCGAGAGGGAUCGGAUGGUGUCUUUAUGGCAGAAGGGGUCAGACUGGAUGACCUUUGGGGAUCCCUUUCAACUGUUGAAAUAUAAGCUGCUAUGGAGUCUAGUGGGUUUUUUUAAACAGGCUGGAUGUCCGUCUGUCGAGAGGGAUCGGACGGUGUCUUUAUGGCAGAAGGGGGUCAGGCUGGAUGACCUUUGGGGAAACCUUUCAACUGUUGAAAUAUAAGCUGCUUUGGAGUCUAGUGGGUUUUUUUUAAACAGGCUGGAUGGCCAUCUGUCGAGAGGGAUCAGAUGGUGUCUUUAUGGCCGAAGGGGUCAGACUGGAUGGCCUUUGGGGGUCUGCUGUGGGGAGGCCCCCCUUGUCUUUUGGCUCCUGUCCUUGUGGGGAAGGGGCUUUUGUCCACGCGCUCUUGUCUGUCGACCCGCUUGUGAGACUUCUUUGUGACCUAGACGUAGAAAGGGGUGAGGAUGGGGAGGAGGCCGAUGACCACCGCGACCACGUGUUCCUCUUACAUCUACUGUAAUCCCGGCUCACCACUUGGCUGCUGGCCGGAGUAUAGUGAUGCAGUGCUUCUUCUGUGAAUAUGAUUAUUAUUAUGAUUAUUAUUUUCCCUUAUUUUACAAACACUGUACAGUACAGAAGCCCCGGCGACUCUCUGCGUGGCAGGCAUGCUCCACACGGCCAUGGAAAUCCAGAAAAAAACCCUUUAUUUUCGCUGUAAGCAAUACUCAUCGGUACCAGAAGAAAUAUAUAUUUCAACUUACAGCUUGUUUGGGGGAAGAGAGAAAAAUAGGGUUCGGGGCGGGAAGUGGGGGGGGGGGGAGAAGAUGAGGAAAAUUUCCAUUUUUGUACAAAUAUAUGUUUCCUGAUUACCUCUUGCUAAUAAAUCUAUUCUAUCUCAGGGUAACGAGGCCUUGGCAAAUGUGUAUCAAUAAUAAAUCAGAUCAAUAAAUAAGUCCAGACAUCUACCGGGAUGGUUCACAUAAGCACUUCAAUAGGGUUUCAUAGUGUUCAUAUUUAAUUCCACUUUAAUGUGGGUUGGCAGAUAUAGGAGCCCUUGGUGGCGCAGCGGGUUAAACCGCUGAGCUGCUGAACUUGCUGGCGGAAAGGUUUCUGGCUUUGAGUCUACACUGCCAUAUAAUCCAGUUCAAACCAGAUUAUCUGUAUUUUAUAGGCAGUGUGGAAGAGGCCUGUCCCCCGGGUGCCAUUGUGGCUGAGUGGGUUGCUAUGACAUGAAGUGGGCGGGGCCUAAAGGGGUGGGGACUAACCUUCUGACUGGCAGCCAGGGGGAGAACGGCUCUUCCUUGUCCUCUGUAAUUUGGACUUUAUUUUUCUAGGGUUUUUUUUAUUGAAAGACAUAAAUUGGAUGACUAUGUCUUUUGUGGCCAAAUUUGGUGUGAUUUGGUUCAGUAGUUUUGUUGUUUACUCCGUAGGAAAAACACACAUUAUAUGUUUAUAUAUAUAGACUAGCUGUGCCCGGCCACGCGUUGCUGUGGCAAAGUAUGUUGGUAUGGGAAAUAAAUUCUUGAGGAAUUAUCUGAUUAGAACUGGAUUAUAUGAGGCUCCUUCUUCACAUCUGUAUAAAAUGCACACUGAAGUGGAUUAUAUGGCAGUGUGGAGUCCAGAUAAUCCAGUUCAAAGUAGAUAAUAUAAGAUCAUAAAUGGGUAAUAUAGCUGUGUGGAAGGGCCUUGAGUCUACACUGCCAUCUAAUCCAGUUAAAAUCUGAUCAUCUGUAUUUUAUAGGCAGUGUGGAAGAGGCCCAAGUGAGGCCUAACUCUGCCUGUCCCCUGUUGCUAGGAGACCAAGUGGGCGGAGCUUAGCCUUCUAACUGGCAGCAAUUGGAUAAAAACAAUUCUUCCUCUCCCCCUAAUUAGGGCUUUUUCCCCCCUUUUUGUUGUAUGAACGUAGAGGCAUGGAUGAGGGGUUGUGCUGCCAAGUUGAGUGUUUCUGGGAUGUGUAGUUUUGUUGUUUUGUCCUAGGCCGAAAUUUCAUUACCCUUUUAUAUAUAUAGAUAGAAGAUAAGAUAUACCAUCUGCCAGAUAGUAAUCAUUCAAAAGAAAACUAUCCAAGGUGAGAUGAAUCCUUAAGUAUAUUAUGAGCUUUCUUAAGGUGGCAGGAUUUAUUGUAAAACUUCUUCAAAGAGGGGAGAAAGCGGGCAGCCUGUCAUUCUCUGGAGUGCCUUCCUAUCUAGAGCCACUGUGCAAAUGGCAAACCCGAUGCAAUAGAUGCAGUAGGUUAGAACCCUCUCUAUAGCACAACAAUGAAAAGUCACCAGGAGUUUCUCGUUCCAUGGUUGGUUCCUUAAAAGUUUCAGACAAUAAUGCAAACUCGGCUGGGCCACCUUCACCAACACAGGUGAAUGCUACCCCAGGGCAAGUCUUCAAGAACAAUAGAGCACCCAAGGACUUAACACACUCUCUUCUGUGCCUACCUAACUAACUGGGCAGGUUUCCCUGAACAAUCGAUCACCCAGAGCUUCAAACAAUCUCUUCACCAACACAGCCUCAAUAGGAACCAAGAGGGCCAAGGUAUUGACAACUCCAGCACACCCCCUGUUCGGGUAUCAGCCAGCAUGCCAAGGCCUUAAAUCAAGAAAUAGUUUCCUAAGAUCUACAGAGAUUCUGUUGGGAGGUUAAUUAGCUCUGAACCACCCUGAUUUAUUGGUGAGAGGUCUCUCACCAAUUCAUCUUCUGUCAGACCGCUUAAGCAACUGGCUAACGACACCACAGUCGUAAUUCAGCUGUUCCCAACGGUUCUAAGGCUUUAUUAUAUACAAACUAUAUACAACUACAAAGUCAAUCGCUCAUAGGACCCAUGCUUCCCUACCAAAGGCAAAGCAUGUCCUCUCUCUUUGCCAAUCGAAGCUCAUCUCCGGCAACUCCCAUAUUCCAUAGCAGAAUGACGAAUGUCCUGUCCGCACUUCUGAGACCGGGAAGGCUUGACCUAUUGGCUAGGCAGGCUAUCACUCAAGCUGGCCUGCUAUUAACCCGUGUGCUGCUGGAAAGCAUGCCGGAAUACACAGUUGCAAAAACCCAACAGCAAAACACUUGACUUAACAUUUCACCCUUACACCAAAAUGCACCAACAGAUUCUUGCAGGAACACCUCAGCAAGCGAGAGUCCAAAAGUGGCAGGCUAAAACCCGGAAUCUCCAUCAGUGGCUGAUGCCAGAUAAGAGACUCCAUCCUGGGCAGACAGAAGACGGGGCGACUUUGAGGGUGCUGAACUGACUGCGCUCUGGCACCACGAGAUGCAGAGCCAACCUUAAGAAAUGAGGCCAGAAAGUGGAGUCCGUGACAUGUGAGUGUGGAGAAUGAUGUCGAGCUAGAAAUUUAGAGGGUCUCGCCCAGUGGGGAGAGAGCCCACAGACCCACCAAAAAGGGUCCAGUACUCUGGCGAG